AAGUGCCGGCCCUGAGAGGUGGAGUCGGGGUGGCAGCGGCGGCGGUUGCCAGGAGCCCGCGUUGCAGCCUGAGAUCCGUAAUAUGGCGGGGAGGAGGAGGAGAAGGCGGCGGCGGACCGAGCUGCGCUCUGUCAGUACCAUUUGAGCCAUUCCCUUCCUGACAAGGCCCGUGGCGAGGGGAGAGGAGCUGAAGGGGCCGUGGGGGAUCAGUUUCAUUUGAAUCCUACGGGGAACCAAGCACUGUCGCUGCCCUCCAGGAAUUCAUACUCUACUGCUAAAAAUCGUCAUCAUCAUUAUCCUCUUAAUAAGAAAAGCAGUCCCCAUUAUUUGUUGCUUUCUGCGUGUUCUGCACUAUGCUAAUUGCCCUACAUGCAUUAGUUCAUUGAAUUCUUACAAGAUUCCUUUGAGACGGAUACCGUGAUUAUCCCUCAGAGGAGGAAACAGGUGUGGGGAUGGUAACUGGCUUGCCAAGAACUUGCAGCUAGUAUGCAUCUGAAUAAGAAAUCUUCCCCUUUACCGCUUUUACAAGAAGUUUGCGUCUUUGGCGGAACUGAUGGGCAAAGAAACACUAGGUUGUGCAAAAAAAGCAGGAUCUGUUCUGUGUUACUUUUACUACUCCUUUCAGUGACAUGUCUGGCAGAGCACGGGUAAGGAGCAGAUAGGACCAUGAGUCUAUGGGGUUUGCAAAGAGGCUCAUUUGGACAAGGGUCAGUGGUUCUCUGUGGUAUAAAUGGAGAAGACAGGGCAUGUCUGAACCUGCUGUAGCUGACAAAUUAUUACUGGAAGUGGACCAGUGAUGCCUGAUGGCAAGAUAUAGGGCAGUAGAUUAGUGGUUGGGGUAGCCUUGUAGUCAAGGCUCCCUUAAAAUAAAACCUUGCUGACAGUGGUAAUUGUAUUGUGAAAGGCAUAGUGUCCUCUUGCUUAAUCACGGGAUAUAGACUGCUCACUUCUUAAAUGGUUACCUUUGCAGUUUAAGAGGUACCAGUUUCUCUGGGAAUAGAGCCGUGGUGAAAUUUCCGUUCUCUAAAUUCCACUCUUCCUUGCUAGCUUCGGUGUAUAGUACGCCUUCUUUUUUUCUUCUGGUUUACAUUAUUGUUUGAGCUUAUUAUUAUUCUUACUCAUUUAUUCAAUACUUUUAUCAAGUGCCUGCUGUGUGCUGAUACUGUUCUGUGUAAUGGGGAUUCAGUGAACAAGACUGAAAAGGUACCUGUACUUAUGGCGCUUACAUUUUGGUGGAGGAAGACAGACAAAAAUCAAGGAAAUAAACACGAUAAUUUCAGAUAGUGGUAAGUGCUAUGAAAGUUGGGAAACAGCAGGGUAAUGUGAUAGUGAUAGAGGCAGAGUUAAUUUAGAUGGGGUCAUCAGGGAUGCCUUCUCUGAGGAGGGGAUAUCCAAGCUGAGACCAAAGAAUAAGAAGGAUCCAGUCAUGCUCUAAGGAUCAUCUAGUAAUUUGUAUAAUCUCCAUAUUAGCACUCAUAUUUAAAUGAGUAAUGCGUUGUGAUAUGCUGUGUUGUGCUGUAAUAAUAAUAUAGUACUAUACAUCUGCAAGAUGUAGGACAUACAUGUACUAUUUAAGGGAUGUGCAUAACUUUCUGAAACAAUGAGGCAUAGCUCUAUGAUGCUGAAAGAAAAAUAAAACUAUGGCCAUACAAGUAUUAUAUUUCCUUAAUAAUUUACCUUACUUCUAAAAUUGAAUUUCAUGCUUUGCUUGAGUAUCCAUAGAAGAUAUAUUACUUUAUUUGUAUAAUCUAUUUACAUUCUGUGUAUUGCUGAAUGCAUGGCAUGAUUAAAAAAAUAAAAUAUUUGAGCCGAAAUGGGGUUAAGAAAUAAUGUGAGUUGAAACCUAGACCUAAAAAAAGGCUAUGCCUUAAGGUGUUUUAUUGUUUUUACUUUUGCUUUUUUAAAAUAAAUAAAAGCUUGUAAAAUAGUCUCACUCACGCUGUAGAGAACCAUUUGUUUGUCAUUAGAGUCCUACUCUGCAUAGAUUGAACACAAAUAAUUACAAUUGAUUGAAUAGUAGGAAGAAGUUUUGUUAUUGAUUAAACUAUUUAGUAAAAAAUAGCAUUAUAUCUUAUUUUUGUAUAACCUGAUUGUAAUUUUGACUAUUUUUUUUCCCAUUUCUCAUUGCACUAUAAUUUGUCCCUGAUACUUUGGUAUACUGAAUUUUUAAGUACUUUGAGGCCUACCGAGGACAUAUCCUAUUUCAUCUUUGCAUAUCCCACAUCAUGAAUUGAAUUUCCCUGCCCUCUCUUUUUUUGUUAAGAAACUAAUUAUUUUAAAAUGAAGACAUAAAGGAACAUCAUUGUAUUCUAUUUUCUGUUUCCAUAGUUCAUACCCUUGCUGGUUAUGAUUCUGAUAAUGUCUUUUUAUUUUCCCUUGCUUAUUUAAAGGAAACAGUGCCACACAUAAUGCUGUGCAAAUAAGCAAUCAAUAUUUACUGUUUGCUAAAUGAAUGAAUGUGAUGCCUAAUCCCUCCUGGUUACCUUGUAUUUUCAUAAUCACAAUUUCCCAGAAACUGUGAAAUUACUGGGAUUGUUUUAAGUAGUUCGGUGAUGGUUCCAAUUUUCAACAAUAAAAUAUAAUUAAUAUCAGA
Molecule: small RNA, 2593 nt
Filed under: Pongo abelii (Sumatran orangutan)
Lineage: Eukaryota; Metazoa; Chordata; Mammalia; Primates; Hominidae
Description: retained intron
Source: RNAcentral